Molecule: ribosomal RNA, 469 nt
Filed under: uncultured organism
Description: partial 16S ribosomal RNA
Rfam family: Bacterial small subunit ribosomal RNA
Source: RNAcentral
ACUCCUACGGGAGGCAGCAGUGAGGAAUAUUGGACAAUGGGUGGAAGCCUGAUCCAGCCAUCCCGCGUGCAGGAAGACGGCCCUAUGGGUUGUAAACUGCUUUUAUCUGGGGAUAAACCUACUUACGUGUAAGUAGCUGAAGGUACCAGAAGAAUAAGCACCGGCUAACUCCGUGCCAGCAGCCGCGGUAAUACGGAGGGUGCAAGCGUUAUCCGGAUUUAUUGGGUUUAAAGGGUCCGUAGGCGGACUGAUAAGUCAGUGGUGAAAUCCGACAGCUUAACUGUCGAACUGCCAUUGAUACUGUUAGUCUUGAGUAAGGUUGAAGUGGCUGGAAUAAGUAGUGUAGCGGUGAAAUGCAUAGAUAUUACUUAGAACACCAAUUGCGAAGGCAGGUCACUAAGUCUUAACUGACGCUGAUGGACGAAAGCGUGGGGAGCGAACAGGAUUAGAAACCCUUGUAGUCCCAUGA